RNAcentral lists this ribosomal RNA (232 nucleotides) under uncultured bacterium. RNAcentral's name for it is "partial 16S ribosomal RNA". It matches the Rfam family "Bacterial small subunit ribosomal RNA", at positions 99 to 334 of the family's 1533-position model. The record is from RNAcentral.
CGGACGGGUGAGUAAUGUCUGGGAAACUGCCUGAUGGAGGGGGAUAACUACUGGAAACGGUAGCUAAUACCGCAUAACGUCGCAAGACCAAAGUGGGGGACCUUCGGGCCUCUUGCCAUCGGAUGUGCCCAGAUGGGAUUAGCUAGUAGGUGGGGUAACGGCUCACCUAGGCGACGAUCCCUAGCUGGUCUGAGAGGAUGACCAACCACACUGGAACUGAGACACGGUCCAG